RNAcentral lists this unclassified non-coding RNA (413 nucleotides) under Hevea brasiliensis (rubber tree). The record is from RNAcentral. Lineage: Eukaryota; Viridiplantae; Streptophyta; Magnoliopsida; Malpighiales; Euphorbiaceae.
CUGGACCCGGACAUUGGCGGACCAGGAAAAUGUGCUCCAUGCAUAGAAGGCACCUGAAUCAUAGAGCAACCAGAAGAUCCACCAACCAUAUCUGGCAUACCCAUCCCAAAACCCAUUCCCAUUCCCAUUCCAACACCCAUGGGUGAGAAUUGAGCCAUAUGAGCAGGAUGCAUGUGAAGCAUUCCGGGGGGCAACAUCAUUGAUGGCAUAUACAAACCAGCUCCCAUUGACAUAAUCUGUACUUGAAGCUGAAGUGUCUUUAAAUACUCGAUGGCCUCAUCAAGCAUUGAAGCUUUGUCCACCUUGUUGCAGUUUGGUAUGAGUUCUUGCAGGGCACGCAUCUUCUCAUUGAUCCUAUCCCGUCGCCUCCUUUCAGACAAAUUAUGUACUUCUGCUGCUCGGCUUCUCUUGGA